RNAcentral lists this long non-coding RNA (975 nucleotides) under Equus caballus (horse). RNAcentral describes it as "lncRNA (ENSECAG00000057348.1)". Lineage: Eukaryota; Metazoa; Chordata; Mammalia; Perissodactyla; Equidae. The record is from RNAcentral.
AGUGCCGGGGCUGGAAUGCACCUGGGCGGAUGGUUUCGCCUUUGGCUGGGAUGGGAUCUGUGGAUGUUGUGGCAUGUGGGAUCCCACCUCACUGUGGCCUGAUGAGUGGUACCAUGUCUGCACCCAGGAUCCGAAACAGGGAAACCCUGAGCCACCAAAGCAGAACACCUGAACUUAACCAUUAGGCCCAUGGCCUGCCAAGUGGUACCAUGUCUAUACCCGGGAUCCAAACCAGUGAACCCAGGCUGCUGAAGCGGAACGUGUGCACUUAACUGCUGUGCCACCAGGCCGGCCCCUGGAGGGUGAUUUAAUUGAGGAAGAUUCAUCGUGAAGUAACACCUGUGCCAGUCUUCCUGUGUUUUGUAUGUGGGUCACAGCCCCACACCACUGAUAGUGGUGUAAGGCCACAUACCUGGGAAGCAAACCCAAGCUGCGGAGGCCAAGUGCACCAAACUUAACCCCUAGGCCACGGGCUGGGCCCUUGAUUUUUUUUAAAUAGACACAUUUUCCUUCUUUAUUUUCAAAAACCAAUAGGAAAAAACAGGGAUGCCUGACCUUAUGGAGUAGUUGUGGGCAUGAAAUAAGCAAAUAAAUGACAAUGAGCGUCAUAAAAUGCUAUGCGUUGGUAUGUUAUUUUUAUUGCGUUGACCGUUCCUUGAGGGCUAGGCUACUUCUUUCUCAGUUGUCAUAUGUGCACAUACUUCAUUCAGAUAUUCAUUCCUUCAACGUUACGGUAGAAUGUAAGUUUCGAGAAGUCAGGGACUCUGUCCACACUGUUCUCCUCCAGCUCCUCAAUGCCUGCAAAAGUGCCUGGCGCUCAAUAAAUGUUUGUUGAAUUAAAAAGAAAAACUUACAAAUAGAUAUGUACUAAAGUAGGUAGUAGACGCUCAAUUGUAGGAUGAGACUGCAAAGAACAGGAAUCAAUUGACAAUUACUUAGUGCAUCCCCAGCCUAGUUACAGCUCGAGGCUGUCGU